CCUACGGGGUGCAGCAGUCGAGAAUCAUUCACAAUGGGGGAAACCCUGAUGGUGCGACGCCGCGUGGGGGAAUGAAGGUCUUCGGAUUGUAAACCCCUGUCAUGUGGGAGCAAAUUAAAAAGAUAGUACCACAAGAGGAAGAGACGGCUAACUCUGUGCCAGCAGCCGCGGUACUACAGAGGUCUCAAGCGUUGUUCGGAAUCACUGGGCGUAAAGCGUGCGUAGGCUGUUUCGUAAGUCGUGUGUGAAAGGCGCGGGCUCAACCCGCGGACGGCACAUGAUACUGCGAGACUAGAGUAAUGGAGGGGGAACCGGAAUUCUCGGUGUAGCAGUGAAAUGCGUAGAUAUCGAGAGGAACACUCGUGGCGAAGGCGGGUUCCUGGACAUUAACUGACGCUGAGGCACGAAGGCCAGGGGAGCGAAAGGGAUUAGAUACCCGGGUAGUC
RNAcentral lists this ribosomal RNA (446 nucleotides) under uncultured bacterium. Its description in RNAcentral is "partial 16S ribosomal RNA". It matches the Rfam family "Bacterial small subunit ribosomal RNA", at positions 338 to 795 of the family's 1533-position model. The record is from RNAcentral.